GGGUGUGAGGGCAAUCUGGCUGCGGCAUCUGUCACCCCAUGGAUCGCCAGGGUUGAUUAAGCUGAUCUAGCUGUCUGGGUGGAUGUCCCCUUCCUCCCUCAAGGCUCUGUGCGUGUCCCUCCCGAAGCUGCAUACUCAUUCGAAGAGGACGACCACCCCUGAUAGAGAAGGGCCGUUCCUCUGUCAAGGGUAUAGUAGUAGCUACGCUCCCCUCCUAGAACCUGCAAACAAGAACUGGAAAAGCUGGGGUUGUUCCUGUAGGAGUGAUAGAGGGAAGCCAUCACAAUGCAUAAAACCACUUGAGAGAAGGU
This 311-nucleotide small nuclear RNA is filed under the name Octodon degus (degu). Its description in RNAcentral is "7SK RNA (ENSODEG00000024499.1)". It matches the Rfam family "7SK RNA". Rfam says of the family: 7SK was discovered as an abundant small nuclear RNA in the mid-70s but a possible function has only recently been suggested. Two independent studies have found that 7SK RNA binds the CDK9/cyclin T complex (known as elongation factor P-TEFb). The record is from Rfam by way of RNAcentral. Lineage: Eukaryota; Metazoa; Chordata; Mammalia; Rodentia; Octodontidae.